AUUGAACGCUGGCGGCAGGCUUAACACAUGCAAGUCGAGCGGGGUGAUGGUGCUUGCACUAUCACUUAGCGGCGGACGGGUGAGUAAUGCUUAGGAAUCGGCCUAUUAGUGGGGGACAACAUCUCGAAAGGGAUGCUAAUACCGCAUACGUCCUACGGGAGAAAGCAGGGGAUCACUUGUGACCUUGCGCUAAUAGAUGGGCCUAGGUCGGAUUUGUUAGUUGGUGGGGUAAGGGCCUACCAAGGCGACGAUCUGUAGCGGGUCUGAGAGGAUGAUCCGCCACACUGGGAAUGAGACACGGCCCAGACUCCUACGGGAGGCAGCAGUGGGGAAUAUUGGACAAUGGGGGGAACCCUGAUCCAGCCAUGCCGCGUGUGUGAAGAAGGCCUUAUGGUUGUAAAGCACUUUAAGCGAGGAGGAGGCUCUUUUGGUUAAUACCCAAGAUGAGUGGACGUUACUCGCAGAAUAAGCACCGGCUAACUCUGUGCCAGCCGCCGCAGUAA
Molecule: ribosomal RNA, 503 nt
Filed under: uncultured bacterium
Lineage: Bacteria
Description: partial 16S ribosomal RNA
Rfam family: Bacterial small subunit ribosomal RNA
Source: RNAcentral